UUGCGGCCAUAUUACGUUGAAACACCGGUUCCCGUACGAUUGCUGAAGUUAAGCAAAGUCGAUCCUAGUCAGUACCUAGAAGGGUAACCGCUUGGGAAUAACACCUGCU
Acanthosepion pharaonis is the source of this 109-nucleotide non-coding RNA. The record is from the annotation of a GenBank genome assembly. Lineage: Eukaryota; Metazoa; Mollusca; Cephalopoda; Sepiida; Sepiidae.